This is a non-coding RNA of Pelobates cultripes (western spadefoot toad), 87 nucleotides long. The record is from the annotation of a GenBank genome assembly. NCBI's taxonomy places the organism in Eukaryota, Metazoa, Chordata, Amphibia, Anura, Pelobatidae.
UGUGUGUGUGUGUGUGUGUAUGUAUGUAUAUAUAUAUAUAUAAUACAUAUAUAUAUAUAUACAUACAUACACACACACACACACAUC